RNA transcript from Scylla paramamosain (green mud crab), 1644 nucleotides. RefSeq lists it as uncharacterized. The record is from RefSeq and is a predicted model, not a curated record. The transcript has 4 exons. NCBI's taxonomy places the organism in Eukaryota, Metazoa, Arthropoda, Malacostraca, Decapoda, Portunidae.
GCGGUGUCUAGAGGGUGGGUAGGCUAGUAACCAGUUGGCGGCGGAUUGGUGUUGGUGAAUGCGUGAGUACUUCCGUGCGGGUCGUGGCUGUGAUGAUGUAUUUGCGGUGCUAUCAUGAAUCUGUAGUGUUGAAAUCGCUAAAAUAGUGUGGCCCAAGAGAGGAGCGAGCGGUGCAAGAAGAGCCGUGUGUGAGGGAGGUGAAACGCCAGCCGUGAGUCAGUAUUUACGAGGCCCGGUGUGUGAUGCAGCGCGCGGCCGUAACUUUCCCCGCCAGUGCUGACCGUUUAUUAUCACUUUCCUGCCUCCCUUCACCUUCACGUCGCCUGACACGCACCUGACGGAGGCCAUCUGAUCCAAUUACAGGAAGAAGAAGAAGAGGUCAAAGAACUGGACUAAACUAACCAUUCAUCGAGCUCCCUUCCCUUCAUCCCCACCCACGAGCCGACAAAACACACCGGAGUGUGGUGAGAGGACAUUUUUCUGCUGCGGGGCCAGUAGGAGGAGCGAGGCCAAAAGAUAAGACAUGGGAUGUUCACCGCACCUCGCCCUCCCUUCGCCAGCUAUCGCCGGCCAUUCAUUCAUUCAUUCAUUCAUACAUUCAUUCCUCGCCUCCCGGAGCGGUCGGUCACUUAGUCACUUCAACGCCUGGAGUGAAACCGAGGACUCGCUACAUCAUGGAGAGACACAAUCCAGACCAGAGGCGCCUGAGAGAGAUCUUUCGAAUCUAUGUGUUAGCGGCGUCGAUCCUGUUCGUGGCCGCCCGCCUGGAGAUCCACCCUUCACCGGGGAUCAUCAGCGACAACACCUCGAUGGAGAUUGGCGCCAAGGACGAGGUGUACAUCUACUGCUGGGAGGGAGAAGAAAAAGAUCAAAAUCGCUGGGUGGUGUGGCAGACGAACAAUGGCACCGUGGGAUCCUUCGUGCAGGGGCGCCGAGUGUUUGUCGUCGGCUGCUACUCCCGCAUCCCUCACUGCAUCCUCAUCUUCAUGGAUUUUCGCAGCGACUUGGCGGAUUGGUAUGGCUGUCUCUCGCAGCAGCCCGGCACUCCGACCGUCUCCUCGUGGGUCUACAUCAAGGACGCCCCACCAUCAAGACGUGUGGUGGACGUGGGCUGCUGCAGACCGUGGGCAAAGGCAGGAGAGGCGGCAGCUUGUCUUGCCAAUAACUCCACGGGAUGUCUGGGCGUCUACUAGGGGGAGAUGGAGGACGCGGCGAGCUGGUGACGGGAGCAGCAGUGAUCUUUGAAUGAAACAUGAAAGCUGUUGAUAUUAUAGUGUAUUCCGUUGAUAUAUAUCUUCGUAAAUUUUCUAUAAACACGUUUCCUGCAAAGUACAUGGUGAUUUGUACUAAGCGUUUCCUAUAGUGCGUAAGAAUAUAAGAACAUAAAGAACAUAAAGGAAGCUGCAAGAAGCCAUCAGACUUAUACAUGGCAGACCCUGUGUAAUUCAUGAUGUGAGCUGAUUCUCCUUUGACCUCUAUAUCACGACUGAAAUGUAACUAACGUAGACUAAAUUAAAAUAGAGUUAAUCAGCUAUCAUUCUACCUGAUCAGCGUUUAAGUAAAAUCCUUCUUUUCACUUUUACACUUUAUGCCACGACCUUAAUGUUUCUAAGUACAAUAAAUCACUUCAUUAUCAUUCUACCA